This 70-nucleotide transfer RNA is filed under the name Mimachlamys nobilis (noble scallop). Its description in RNAcentral is "tRNA-Thr". It matches the Rfam family "tRNA". From Rfam's summary of the family: Transfer RNA (tRNA) molecules are approximately 80 nucleotides in length. Their secondary structure includes four short double-helical elements and three loops (D, anti-codon, and T loops). Further hydrogen bonds mediate the characteristic L-shaped molecular structure. tRNAs have two regions of fundamental functional importance: the anti-codon, which is responsible for specific mRNA codon recognition, and the 3' end, to which the tRNAs corresponding amino acid is attached (by aminoacyl-tRNA synthetases). tRNAs cope with the degeneracy of the genetic code in two manners: having more than one tRNA (with a specific anti-codon) for a particular amino acid; and 'wobble' base-pairing, i.e. permitting non-standard base-pairing at the 3rd anti-codon position. The record is from RNAcentral. Lineage: Eukaryota; Metazoa; Mollusca; Bivalvia; Pectinida; Pectinidae.
CUUUCUUUAGCUUAAUUUAAAGCAGCGGUCUUGUAAAUCGCAGGUGAGGGUUUAGUUCCCUCAGGAUGGU